Long non-coding RNA from Bos taurus (domestic cattle), 2023 nucleotides. NCBI's taxonomy places the organism in Eukaryota, Metazoa, Chordata, Mammalia, Artiodactyla, Bovidae. The record is from Ensembl.
CAAGUUUGUCUUACGUUUCUUCCUUAUGAGAUUCAGAUGACAUGUUUUUUGAAGGAAUCUCACAGAAGGGAUAUUUUUAUAGUGGACUGGGUUGCCUGUGUUUCGGGGCCUAACAGGAGCGUCUGGACUCCAGUCCCAUUGGGCCGCAUGGCAGUCACCCAGCAGAUUGCUGAUUUGCGGUGACCCUGGGUCUGUGUGCUGUCCUUAGUCGCUCAGUCGUGUCUGACUCUCUGCGACCUCAUGGAUUGUAGCCUGCCAGGCUCCUCUGUCCGUGGGAGUCUCCAGGCAAGAAUACUGGAGUGGGUUGCCAUGCCAUUCUCCAGGGGAUCUUCCCAACCCAACAGUCGAACCCAGGUCUCCCACACUGCAGGUGGAUUCUUUACCAUCUGAGCCACCAGGGAAGCCCAAGAAUACUGGCGUGUGUAGCCUGCCCUUCUCCAGGGGAUCUUCUCGACUCAGGAGUUGACCCCGGGUCUCCUGCUUUGCAGGCAGAUUGUCCACCAGCCGAGCUACCAGGGAAGCCCACCCUGCGUCUGUCACGUGCCAUUUUUCCAACUGCAUUUGCUCACUUCCUGUUUCUGUGUCAUAUUUUGAUAAUUCUCUCAGUAUUUCCAACUUUUUCAUUAUUGCUAUAUUUUUAUGGUGAUCAGUGGUCUUAGAUGUGACUAUUGCAGUUGUUUUGGGCACCAUGAACCACGCCCAUACUAGAAGGCAGAUUUGAUUCAUGAAUGUUGUGUGUAUUCUGACUGCUCCGUGACCAGGUGUUCUCCUGUCUCUCCUUCUCCUUGGGCCUCCCUGUUCCUGAGAUACAAUAUUGAAAUUAGGCCAGUUAAUAACCCUGAAGUGAUCUCUCGGUGUUCAAGUGGAAGGAAGAGUCAAACGUCUUUCACUUUAAAUCAAAAGCUGGAAACAAGCUUAGUGAAAGCCAAGGCAGGCCAAAAGCUAGUCUUCUCACACCAAACCAUUAGCCAAGUUGUGAAUGCAAAGGGAAAGUUCCUGAAGGAAAUUAAAUGGGUGCUCCAGUGAACACAUGGACGAUAGGAAAGUGAAACAGCCUUACUGCUGAUACGGAGGAAGUUUGAGCAGUCUGGAUAGAAGAUCAGACCAGCCACGUUCCCUGAAGCCAAAGCCUAAUGCAGAGCAAGACCCCUACUCUCUCCAGUUCUGCGAAGGCUGAGAGGUGAGGAAGCUGCAGAAGUGGUUCGUGAGGUUGAAGGAAAGACGCCAUCUCUGUAACAUAAUAGUGCCUGGUGACACAGUGCACCGUGCAGAAGCGCUAGCUCAGUUCAUGCGUGAUGGCCCUGCGGUGAAUAGCAGACGUUCAGUGCAGGCGAUGAGACAGCCAUUAAGAACAUUCAUGAUUCUUGGGAAGAGGUUCAAGUAUCAAAAUACACAGCCCUCAUGGACAACUUUGAGGGGUUCAAAAUACAGUGGCGGAAUUAGCUGCAGAUGUGGUGGGAACAGCAAGAGAACUAGCAGUGGGGCCUGAAGAUGUGGCUGAAUUGCCGCAAUUUCAUGAUCAAACUUGAAGAGGAGAUUCUCCUUAUGGAUCGACAUGGAAGUGGUUUCGUGAGAUGGAAUCCAUUCCUGUGAAGAUGUUGUUAAGACUGCUGAAAUGACAACAAAGGAUUUAGACUACGACCUCAACUUCGUUGAUAAAACAGGUUUGAGAGGACCGACUCCAAUUUUGAAAGAAGUUCUGUUGUGGGCCAGGUGCUGUCCAGCAGCACUGCAAGCUUCAGAGAAGCUGUUCACCAAAGUCAGUCACUGCAGCCAGCCUCACUGGUGUCUCAUAUUAAGAAACUGCUGCAGCCACCACCCUGUCGGUCAGCAGAUCAGUGCUGAGGCAAGACCCUCCACCAGCAAACAGAGGAGGACUCUCUGAAGGCCAAGGUGAUGAUUAGAAUGUUAAAACAAUGAAAUAUGUUUACAUUAAGGCACAUACAUUGUGUUUUCAGACAUAAUGUUAUUGCAUGCUCAACAGACUACAGCAUAGUGGAAAUAUAACUUCCGUAAGCAGCAG